RNAcentral lists this small nucleolar RNA (91 nucleotides) under Nannospalax galili (Upper Galilee mountains blind mole rat). RNAcentral describes it as "Small nucleolar RNA SNORA32 (ENSNGAG00000009844.1)". It matches the Rfam family "Small nucleolar RNA SNORA32", at positions 32 to 121 of the family's 121-position model. From Rfam's summary of the family: ACA32 is a member of the H/ACA class of snoRNA that guide the sites of modification of uridines to pseudouridines. Lineage: Eukaryota; Metazoa; Chordata; Mammalia; Rodentia; Spalacidae. The record is from RNAcentral.
UUUUUUUUGCUGUGGACAUGAGCACAAAAAACCAUUCCCACUACGUUGUCUGUAUGCUACUUUGCUAGCAAUCAACCUGUUGGGAUAUUUU